Molecule: ribosomal RNA, 294 nt
Filed under: uncultured bacterium
Lineage: Bacteria
Description: partial 16S ribosomal RNA
Rfam family: Bacterial small subunit ribosomal RNA
Source: RNAcentral
AGCGAACGCUAGCGGCGGGCCUAACACAUGCAAGUCGAGCGGGGGAGCAAUCCCCAGCGGCGGACGGGUGAGUAACACGUAGGUUAUGUGCCCUUUGGUGGGGAAUAACCGUGGGAAACCAUGGCUAAUUCCGCAUAUCGAGCGAAAUCUUGAAAGCCUUCGGGCGCCAAAGGAGCAACCUGCGGCCCAUUAGCUUGUUGGUAGGGUAACGGCCUACCAAGGCGAUGAUGGGUAGCUGGUCUGAGAGGAUGAUCAGCCACACUGGAACUGAGACACGGUCCAGACUCCUACGGA